RNAcentral lists this ribosomal RNA (468 nucleotides) under uncultured bacterium. RNAcentral's name for it is "partial 16S ribosomal RNA". It matches the Rfam family "Bacterial small subunit ribosomal RNA", at positions 28 to 523 of the family's 1533-position model. The record is from RNAcentral.
GAUGAACGCUGGCGGCGUGCCUAACACAUGCAAGUCGAGCGAUUCUCUUCGGAGAAGAGCGGCCGACGGGUGAGUAACGCGUGGGUAACCUGCCCUGUACACACGGAUAACAUACCGAAAGGUAUGCUAAUACGAGAUAAUAUGCUUUUAUCGCAUGGUAGAAGUAACAAAGCUUUUGCGGUACAGGAUGGACCCGCGUCUGAUUAGCUAGUUGGUAAGGUAACGGCUUACCAAGGCGACGAUCAGUAGCCGACCUGAGAGGGUGAUCGGCCACAUUGGAACUGAGACACGGUCCAAACUCCUACGGGAGGCAGCAGUGGGGAAUAUUGCACAAUGGGCGAAAGCCUGAUGCAGCAACGCCGCGUGAGCGAUGAAGGCCUUCGGGUCGUAAAGCUCUGUCCUCAAGGAGGAUAAUGACGGUACUUGAGGAGGGAGCCCCGGUUAACUACGUGCCAGCCGCCGCCGUAA